Molecule: unclassified non-coding RNA, 331 nt
Filed under: soil metagenome
Description: partial contains 5.8S ribosomal RNA, internal transcribed spacer 2, and large subunit ribosomal RNA
Rfam family: 5.8S ribosomal RNA (bases 1-120)
Source: RNAcentral
GAUGAAGAACGUAGCGAAAUGCGAUAAGUAAUGUGAAUUGCAGAAUUCAGUGAAUCAUCGAAUCUUUGAACGCACAUUGCGCCCCCUGGUAUUCCGGGGGGCAUGCCUGUUCGAGCGUCAUUUCACCACCCAAGCCUCGCUUGGUAUUGGGCAACGCGGUCCGCCGCGUGCCUCAAAUCGACCGGCUGGGUCUUCUGUCCCCUAAGCGUUGUGGAAACUAUUCGCUAAAGGGUGUUCGGGAGGCUACGCCGUAAAACAACCCCAUUUCUAAGGUUGACCUCGGAUCAGGUAGGGAUACCCGCUGAACUUAAGCAUAUCAAUAAGCGGAGGA